Long non-coding RNA from Anopheles stephensi (Asian malaria mosquito), 25773 nucleotides. RefSeq lists it as uncharacterized. Lineage: Eukaryota; Metazoa; Arthropoda; Insecta; Diptera; Culicidae. The transcript has 3 exons. The record is from RefSeq and is a predicted model, not a curated record.
GCGUCUGUUUUGGAUACGGAGAUGUUUUAUUCAGCGAAAGCUUUCUGGCGUGCGUGAUAGCACGUUUUGCUCUGACGGCUUCCCCAAAAACAAAAUUGCGUUUCCACACUGGCCUUUGUCUUCCAGUGCCUAUAGUGAUAGGUCUCGAAGGUGGGUUGCAAAUUUAUCGCGCAAGUACUCGAAACCAGGUUGUGUGUUGUGCUUCCGUUCAUCAUCCCUAAUCGUAAGUUGGGGGAGUUGAGUAGUGCAUCUGCUUGGAGAUAACACUUGCAGGUUGGUAACGAUGUUCGAGGAGGCAUAAGAUACUUAGAGCUGCAAGCCAGAAAGAGAUCGCUAUGGGAAUGCAUCUAACGGUGGCGCGUUCCUUGAGUGUGCGUGUUCCUAGCGGGAGACGAACAAAAUAGUUCCCAGUGUAACGCUGUCCUGUUUCACCAAGGCCAGGCCUGAUGGGGGGGAUAGUUUGUUCCCGAACGUUCCUUCAUUUAUUUUCUCAGUGCAUGCCGACCGCAACUGGGUGUUAGCUGUUGCUGGAAGGAUUGCUUUGCGUUUCUUAACUCUUCUUACGUUUUUCAGUAAUAUCAAGUGUACUUAUAAUAUCUAAUCGUCAAUAUUUUACUCCACAGUACUACACAACUAGCGACGCCUGGUUGCCAUCAACACAAAUCGAUCCUGUCCUUGCCCUCAGCAGUAUGAUUGUUGUCUUACCCGGUGCCGUUACCACCUUACGUAAUGUCGCUUACUGGUACCGAUCCCAGUGCCAGUUACGACGCCGCCAGCGGUAUUCACAAGCGAUGAGAACAAAGAACUGCAUAUACACAAUAUACAUAUAUAUAUACAAAAAAACGAUGUCUCAUCCUAAGAAAAAUGAUCGAGAUGCGUCAAUCAAAGGGUGAAAUAAUGCCACAGUGUAUGGUUCGGUUUGGCUGACUCAAUUCCAGCGACCGAUAGACACACAUUAUUCACGCGAUUCGAUCCAUUAAAGGCGUUCGGUGAGGUGAUUCCUUUAAAAUGAACCACACACACACGCAACCACAGCAAAAUCACAGUGACGAAUGCAGUGAUAGGUUUUAAUGUCUCAUUUGAACCUUGUGGUGUAUGGGGAUUUUAUAAAUGCAUACAUAAAUCUUAAAUCUCUUAUUAGCAGCUUUUUAGAGGAUUUUUUAUACACUAAUUGUAUCUCCUCAAUAUCCUGAAAGCUCGAUUUGGUGUACCAAUUUGUCGUACACUGUACCUUGGUUACUUUGCAUUGAGGUUAGGCAUACGCGAUCUGCUUCCCACCGGUUCCUAUCCGUUAACAUGCAAAUGUAAGCCCUUCUUCCCCCUCCAUCUCCUACAACCUACUUCAUACUAACAUCAACAUGCAUCGAGCUCGAGAUGCAUGGAUCAGCAUCAUCGCCGACUCGCGCCUGCAGCAUCUCGCGAUUACAAACUUGUGACACUUAAUCACACCCUCGGAUGGUUCGGAUGAUCCCUGCAAGAGACUACAUGACUACAGCUGCGGCCUGCCCUGUGAGAUUGUGUAUAUUUGUGUGCGGGAAUUAGCAAGGAGCAAACAGAGAUUGCAAUGUGGCAAAGACACACACACACACAAAAGGCGGGCAGUGGAGUGGAGAAAGAGGGAAAAUAAUUACAUUUACCACAGCCCGCUACAGCUGCGAUGUCGUUCCUGUGGUACCACAACUGAACCAGCCCGCGCUUGUCCUUCUUCCCCGCUCCAUUCCGCUCCAUUUCCGCCACGGGUGUCACCUGUUCUGGCGCGCACGUGCCCGCAUAUGCACGCGCACAUGCGCCCAUUGCAAGCCGUGCGCCAGCGCAGUGCAAACGAUGCAACUGCCAGCGUCAUCUUUGCCAGCGGAUUUUUUGUUUUGUUUUUGUUGCCUGCCCCACCGUUCAAGGUUAUAAUUGACCGUGCAUUUUAUUGUGAUUUUUACCCCAAUGUAGGAUACCCCGCGCCAAUCCAUUCCUUUUUGCUGUUCGGUAUCUAUAGAAGACACAUUUUGUGACAUACCAUUUCUAACCACACAUUCUUCAUUUUAAUUGAUUCCCAGUUUUUUUUAAUAAAAGGAAAAGUAUAUGAAUUGUUUUGCAUUCGUGCGAGGUAGGAAAUGCAAAGACGCCCACCCCCAUUACUUAAAUCGCGAUAAAUGGUCACGCAAUGGUACAAGCUCCCUCUGUCCGGCUGCAUCCAAUGCGAACCCCGUUGCCCAAAAGGUGCCAUAAAAUCGAUCGCUAUGGGGGAAAGCGGCAAACAGAAGGCCCAGGAAUGGUUUGAGCUAAAAAUAAACAAUCCAGAUGGGUAAAAUUGCAACCUUUUUCCCGGUGAAAGAUUGGUUUGGUUCGGAUGUUUGAUUUGUUUUUACUUCCGUUCCGUUUCUGCUUUUCUUCUGCUAUCGUUUUUGCUGCCAGCUGUAACCUUGUCGGUUUGAGCGUGUGUUUUUGAGACACCGUGAUGGUGCUGCACUUUUGUAGUUAUUUUCAUCCAUGUUAGGAUUGCACCCUCCACAUACACAUACAUCUGUACGAGUGGGUUUAUGCUAGAGAAACUGCCUUUUUAAAAUGAAUUAUUUAAAGCGGCAUGAAUGAUCCUCGGGAGAUAUUAAAAUAACUGAUUGCUCUACACGACAAGAAUUAAACAUUAGAAAGGGUUUCAACGGGAGAAGGUAUAAUGGGUUUUUUUAACAAUUUUUUAAUAAAUUACCUUAACGAAAGUGGAAGAAAACACAACCAGAAAACAGAAAACACAACCACAACCACAAAUUAAUUUACUUUCAUAUUACUAUCAAUAGAGUGGUUUGGCUGUUUUGGAUUUUAGAGAUCGAUAUUUAUAUCUAACCAAUUCAUCAAAUAGCAAUAUGGUCAGGCCGUCCUUCAUGAAUGAAAAAAUCAUCGUAUAACACAUUUAACCUGUGUUAAACUACAUUUUACAGCAUAAGCAGUUUAAUAUGGUGUUUUUAUAUAAAUCCGUCAAAAUACGAUGUUGAUGAGCAACAUUUUUUCAAGAUACUACAUCAACAUCCGAUAAAUACUGCCACCAAAGCACUCGCGAACCAGCGCACCACCUGUACAGUUGCGCUCAACAUCUUAAUGCAACCCUUGCUGUACCCAGUCGCGCAAUCUAUCGGACAGCCGCGAAGGGUAGCUUGCCAAGAAGAAAACCCCAAUUCCCCAACCGCAUAGGACUCCCAAGCAACCAAAGCACGUUUGCACGAGCGAAACCAGAAUUCAGAGGUCGACCCAAGCCGCGGGUUUUGGAUCACGGUGCUGAGGCCGCCAGUGGAAGUGGGUCUCUAAUAAAUAUGACAGAGGAAAAUUCAAGUUCACUGUCAAGGUCGUGCGCGAUACGCAGGCGCGCCUAGCGCUCGGGAACAUCGCAUUGCAGGAGCACGCGAAACGGGCGAAACGGAGCACGCGACGCACCAAGAACAUCCACCAAACGGGAGGAAAAGUUAGGGAACGAGAGAGACAUACACAUAUACACACGCCGAUGAAACGCACACCAGCCAGAGGGCCAGGGUGGCGCACACAGCGCAGUACGAACACAUCGGUAGAGGGUUCCCGAACCAAACACAAAAAAAAGAGCGAAAACAAAAAUGAAAUAACAUCUUGGAGCACGAACGCUCCACCAAUACGUCCCUUCAUCGCGCGAUUGUAGCCAGCGCGGCAUAGAAAACGAGAUAGCAAAGGUAACAACAACAACUCAGGCACGGACUUGAGCGAAUAUUAUUCCUGUGGGAACAUGGGAAGACAUCUUGGAAUUGAUCUACUCGAUCAUGACGCACCCGCUUGCUGUGCGUGUACUACAGUAGACGCUAGUGUGCGUGUUCCCCCGGUAUCCCGAGCACGAUCAUUCCGAUGAGAACCGUGGGCGACUUCCAAUUAUGGGCAAAAUUGUGGGCAAACUCGCUAGCAAACGAGCUACCACGCCGGUCGCCAUUUGCUAUUGAUUAUGGGUUGUGUCUUCUCCAUCGCCCAACCCCGUCGGGGGCAAGUAAACUAAUUAAGCAGAUCUCAUCCGGAUCGACACACAUCCCAGUUCUACCCCCAGAUUGGGGGGGUUGAAAGCAAAUGAAACGCAUCAUUUCCUGUAACAUGCAGUUUUGUCCACCAGCAAUACCGAAGUCACAGCGGGCAUGCUGUGUGCGUUUUUGUUUUACUGGUACGCCAUCAAUAACGGCUUAUGUUUACAGACCGUGCAUGAUGAAUGCAGUUUUAUGUGCGUAUUCUUCGCACGCGUCCCUUUCUUCUUCAUUUGCUCUUCGCUCGAGUUAGCAUAGGUCAGGAUGGCAAUGGGAACGACUGCUGGUAAACUGCACCGAAGCAGCGAACAGGGGCGUUGGCAAAUGCCGGAGAAGCUGGCAAUCUUAAUGCAUCGAUGAACGGAUGACAUCAUCACGGUGCGCAUCAAUCGCGGUUUGUUUUACUAUUUUUCAUUUGCUCCCGUACUAACUCGAUAGGCGGAUGUAAAUGAUUGUGAUUGAGAUUAGCAGGAUGGGACUAUAAAAUAGAGUUUAUAGUUAAAUGGUACUUUUGUUGCCUCUAAAGAGUACGUAAUUAGACAUUAUUUGGAGUGUUUUAUCGAAUCUUUUUCGAUCGCAAUCCGUCACUAACAACAAACACGUGCGAACAGGGUGGCUAGCAAGAAGGGUUGAAAAUUUGAAAUGGCAAACAGUAAAGUGUGUUGCAGUUCAUACAGCAAAUGUUUCCAUAUUUAUAACAAUAAGCAAUUUUGACAUAACAUUCAAUCGACCAACAUGUGCACCAUGAUGUUGUUAUAUCUCGAACUUUCAAUAAUUCUGCGUUGGAACCUUUAAAAAAUUCCGUUUUUUUUUCUUCAAGUGUGGUGGUCCCCCUGUCCAAUUCGCCAAUUGCACAACACACGUCGUAGGGGGAGGGAACCCGUGUUCCUGUGUUCAUCCCUUUCAACACCACCAACGAAAAUACACGCACACACACGUGUGUACUUCGAGAAUGCAUUCACGGUGUGUUUUAGUUUGUUACUUCUCACUCUCGCUCUCUCACGCUCACGCCUUACAAUCGCAUUAUUCCAUCUAACGCUCUCCCUCUGGAACACUCUUGUUCUCACAAACCCCAACCUCCAACCGAAAGGCUCCCCAUUGGCUCCAACAGUAACGACCGUAUAAUAAAUCGGAUACAGGGCUCUGGAUCUGGAACAGCAAAAUGAAAGGGAGAAGGGGGGUGUCGAACGAGAGCCAACAAAACAACAAACACUGGGUGGUGCGUGUAGAUGUAGGUAUGGCUCACACAACGAAGCGCCCAGUUCGUACUGGUGUGGGAUGUGGGACGCAUUAGAACGCAAAAUGGGAAAUCAAUUUUUCGGACGACGCGUGUACCGCGCGACGGUGCAAGAUUUUGCAGCCAUUUUCAUUAUCGCCGCGACAGUCGAACGGUGUGGUUCGGUGAGAAAACAGCCCGCCGGGAAAGCAAGUCUUCCCUCAGUGUCAAGGUCCCCAUCUCAUCGUGGACGGGGACGGCGAAACAAAACACACAACAACAACAAUUACGCCACAAUCUGGAAUUUUCCACCGUACAUGGACAAUUAAAUUGUGCGGUUGGUGUUUGUGGCUUUGUGAGUGGGUGUGUUUUAUUGUGAGUGUGUCCCUGUGUUAGAACUGCAUUUUAGAACAAAAGACAAAACAAUUACCCUAAAACUAACUGGCAUACUGGCUAGAGAUAUUUUGGAGCCUAAAAACAUACUUUCCUAGUGGAAAUAUUAUGGACCAAUUUGAAUUUAUAAUAAUUUCACCCCACCCAACACACCCUUUUGCUGUUGGAUCAAAACCGUGGCAAAAUAGAAGAAGCAACAAAAAAAAGCAGGCAACAGCAUCCCCACCUUCGCGUCGUGUGACAGGCGCGCGCGUCGUGUUCGACGUUCGGGAAUGUCAAGAAAUUGCGUUGUACGAAAAGUGUGCAAAUUCCCUCGGGAAUCUCGGGACCGAUGGCGGAUGCGGUGGAUGCGGUGGGUUAGAAGGGUGUACGCCGGUACGCCGCAUAUGUGGGAGGGGCGGGGGGAGGUGCAGGAAGGGAUGGUGAAUGAUGAUCACGGAGAUGCUGUCGGUGUGUUGGUGAUAAAGCUAGCGUUGUGUGCACGUGUAUGUGAGUGUAUGUGCGGCUGUGUGUGCGUACUCGUUAUCCGUGUGCUGGCCCAGUGUGUUGGAGUAGGGAUUGGAUGUUGUUUGUUUUGUUCCCGCACUCAACCAUCGUCAGCCGAUUGGAGCAGAAGCGGUCGUCGUCGGCUAAUCAGAAUUGGCUUCAGGCCACCGGAACACCUGUGCUUGUAGUGUAGCGUGUUGGUUGGGAGUUAGUGAAUGACAAUAGAGCCGCUGGAAAACAUUUCAUCCCUCAAGAUAACGAGUGUGUUUUGCCAGUGUUUUUAAUUUUUACUUGUAAUUUACUUGUGACGAUAACAAAUAUCCACUAGUGUGUAAAACUGUGUAGAAACAUGUGUGUACUUUCUCAGUACGGAUGACGUUGACAGAGUGUUUUACGGUUACGAAAAUAAAUAAAAUACAUUUUCCCCAUGGGAUAGGGCUACAAAACUUCAAUUGAAUGACCUUUCACCAAACAUAGUUUUAUUAGGGGAGACCUCCCAUCACUGUGCUAUGCAACAGAAAAUCCGUGUGCGUGUGUGUGCGAAAUGCAGUAAAGGAACAAAUUCGGUACUAAUUGAAAUCGAAAGCCACCACGGGUCACAUUUCUGCCGUACCGCCCCGAUGGGAGCAAGUGAAACAGUGUUCGAUCGAUCGAUUUCAUCACCUGAUGCGGUCUUCCGCACCGCAUCCCAGCUGACACGGACGCAGCACACGGACGGAGUGCACGAAAGUGCACAUAAGCGCCCAGCUCAGCUGCGCAAUGCAAACGACACGCUCGCUGCAGCUAUAUUGUUGCCUCCCUUUUCGAUGCGAUUGGGUUACAUUGUGCUAUGAGUGUCUGUUUAUGCGAAAGAGUAAUCGAGAGGUAAGUUUAUAAACGAUUUGGGAACGAUACGAAAAACUAGGGUAAAGUGGUAAAUAAAAUUGAACAGUUUUGAGAAGAAAUUUGAAUUUUUUGUGUUGUUUGUAAUUUAUAACUUUGCUAACUAUUUUCCUUUUGAAAACAAACAUAUAUGAGUAUUAUCCAUAUGAGAAUCCACCAUUCUUAUUUAUAACUUUCAACUUUUGACCGAAAACAGUUUUGUCCCAUACAGGCAACAAUGUAUUUAAUUAUUUCACCCCCGAAUGUAGCUCUUGGAAGGGUUAAAUUUGCAUGCAUUCUACCAUCGCCCCCAAUGUAUGUUAUGUAUCCAUCUGCUUGUGGUGGUAGUGGUAGUAGUGGUUGAUCACAAUACACUGCCAACAAACCCGGUAAGCGUGUGUGCGUGUUGGGUUCUGUAUCGGGACACAAACGAAAUGCGCACACCGGAUCGAAGCGCCGAUGCCAGUGCCGUUUUCCAAGUUCAAGUUCAUUGUGUUUUUUCCCUCCGGUUCAUUCAUACGCGCCAACGGAUAUCUUAUGGGGCGUGCAUGCCUGACUCCAGCUGGUGCUGGAAGCCGCGUGCAUUUGCUUGCUCCCUACGUGAAGUGUGUAAAGAUGCAGUUUUUCCCAAGACUACGCUAUUUAAUUCAGUCAAGGAUGAUUUUUGCAUGUAAUGGAAGUGUAUUUUAUACUAAGUUUUAAUGGUGUUUUGUGAAUUAGGUUUUGAGUGAUUUAACCAUCAAUCAGUGGCAUGUGAUAAUUAUUUAAGAGAUUGUUUGUUGAUAUUUCAACCAUUUUUCUAUGUACAUUUCGCUUACCAUGUUCAACGAAAAACAAACGAACCCUGUAACAAACUGGAAGCCGAUUAUAUCGCUAGCUCCAUCAUAGUAAAAAAAAAAACAUAAACUCCCUGGAGCCGAAGAUAAAAAUGAACCAGAUAAAACAAUUGCAGCGCUCAAAUCUACCACCGUGCGCCAUUCUUUACAUUUGUAACACACAAAAAUCAACCCCCAACGUAACACGCACGCAAAGAGGGCAGCACCAAAGUGGCGAAGAAGUAGGCCACCGCAAAGAAGUCUACCGAAACUGUGGCGGCACAAAGAGUGGUGCGAAAACGAAGACAUAAAAAACAAGUCCCCUGACCACGUUCCACCCGGAACGAGCAAGAACGAUGUAUCAAACGAUUGAUCGUCCCAGAGAGAGAGAUGUGGUAAUUUCAGGCAAGCAGGCCUGCCAGCAAAUUGCAAAUACCUUGAACUUGUAACGGAAGAGCGAUGAAUGGCGCAGGCAAAAGAAGUGAAACCAUUGGUGUUACGAUAGGUGUGGUGCCGUGCCACCCUUCCUUCACACUUCCUUCCCACUGAUCACCAGGUUCCAGCGUCUUCAGAUGAAAGCGAAAGAAGUACCCAAGGAAAUAUUGUGUGUUUGCGCCAUACUGCGAAGGAAAGAGCGAGUCAAAUGGUUCCAGAUGUCUUUAUGUGCCACAACAGCGAGUGGGGUGGAACGAUAAGGUGAAUGUUGGGGUAACAGCUGCUACACUCCCGGCACCCCAACCUACCCGGUGUCGUGUGCAACGAGCAGUGGAGCAAGUUGAAGAGAAAAAAAACCAGGGGAACCAGAUAAUGUGCCAUAGUUGUUAAACUUGAACUUGAACGUGAAACGACUCGUUCGACGGUAUCACCAACAUGCGCACAGCUCACCAGCAAGUGUUGCGAUAGUAUUGGUGGCAGCACGAUGAUGGCCCCCACUCGUUCUGUUGCUGCUCCACAUUAUCCCGGUUCUGUUUCACCUCACCCCAGGGGUCUCUUUCGAGCACAUACGGCCGUACAUUGAAACACACACAAACACCCAUAGCGAAGCGCAGAACGUGCCAACCGAACACUUGUCUCCAUACGAACUCACCACCCUCAACCCCGGGGCAAAACGUGAACACGAAUGGGGAUGAUUCAUUUGGUUUGGUCUCCCCUUUCUGGCUGCCAACAGUUGAGUGCCGAGCGGGUGAGUGUGAGUGCCCCACGGUUACAUCACAUCAGCAGCGAUGAGAAUGGAAUAUGUCCAACAUUGGAACAGCUUUUCAGAUGGUUUGAUCAUGAAAUGCGCUGUUUAUUUGGUUCACUGUUAAAACAUUUUCAGCCCCCAUCUACUGCUCUACUCCUGCCACCAUCCAUCCCAGCUGUGCUCUAGUUCGUCCACCACACAAACACACGAAAAACUACUGUCUACCAAUUAGAAACAGCACGUGUAUGGCCGGGCGUGAAACGUGACUCGUGAGUCACACGGCAACAUCGACAACAACCGCUAAUGGCACUGUGUUUGGCGUCAUGUGGGAAGCGAUUGCGCAAAAACGUGAGUGCAAAACAUCCUCCUCCCCCACCUCAAGCAGGCCACAAAAGGGCAGGAAUCGUCUUCGUUCCGGUUUCAUCACAAAGGGCCUCCCGCGAGUGGUUACGAAACGCAAGUUUUGAUAUUCAAUAUGCAGCGAAGAUCGCACUCGAAACAAAUCGAGCAAGUGUAUCUCGUACGCAGGGUCAACGGAAAAAAAUUACAUAAAUGUGAAUUCGUAAUUUUAUUUGCCUGCUGUCUGGUGAAUUCCAAAAAUAUUAUCUUCUUUUAUUUACUAAGUCAUUAUUAAAUUUCAUUGAAUUUAUUUAUUUUUUAUAUUUUAGGAAAAGAACUCUACCGGCAUUCGAGCUGUUGUUCAAUGUUCGCUUAUCAAACAAGAACCCUCGGCCACUGGGAUACUCCUUGUGCUCGCUGUGUAUUUUGAUUCAAACUAGUGAACACAUCUGGUGGUAUCUCAGUGGCCGGGCUGAGUUCACACUGCACCGGGGAAUGCAUCACCGAAGGCAGAAGACGGGUUUCCUUCAACAACAACGAUCAUCGAUCCAUUAGAUGAGUACUACAAAUCGACGCAGCGCAGUGUACAAAGUACAUUUUCGUGCGUCAGGGAAAUGAGUGACUCGAGUCAGAACUCGGGAAAACUAAAAGCUUUCCGUGGAAAGCUUCUAGUAGGGUGCCGACGAUGAACAAUGUACAUGCAUUUCACCCUAUCGUUACCUUUCAUUCAAACCGAUGGAAGAUAGUACGCGGUUGCUCUAGUCUCUAACCGUUGCAAGUUGUAUACAAAUUUAAAUCUGUUAGUUGUGUACAAUAGUAUCAGAAUAGUUUUCCUUUACAUUAGCAGAGCAGGGCGUAUUUCCCUUUCCGAUGCGAUUACCCUAGACGGAAAGGUAGCUUGGAAAAAUAGCUCAAAUUAACACUCGAUCGUAUCAGCCUAAAAGUAUGCAAUCCGCAUGACACACUGUUUAAAUUUAAAUUCUUCGCAAGCAGCAAGGGAAAUAAUCGACCGUUAACACGAUUUUGUAAUUCAAUUGUUUACAGCAAAUUAUUUCAAUAUUUUUUAAGUUGCCAUUCAUGUAUGGCUUCUAGAGAAGUUAUUUAAAGCAUUUGUACUAAUAUGCUGAUCCCCGCUGCAUAUGAUUGGUUUGAACAACCAUCUGUUCUGUAUACCUUUUAGGAAAAGGUUAAAACGAGCGAUUUUUUUGUUCACACAGGCACAUCCCCGUGGUGAUGAAUAAUUAAUUUAACUAUCCCAACCAAAAACACUUCGAUCCACCUCUCCUCUUCACGUUCUCUUGGUACUCCUGCGCUGGCCGAAAUCGCUGAACAAACAAGCCUGCCUACUUGGCAAGUGCAAUUAUUUUAUGUAAUUACGAUUUAUUUUUAUCAACACGAACACACACCAUCGUGCCCCAUCUCCACCACCGGUGGGCACCACAAAACCUACGAGCUGUACUAUGUGCAUCUCGGCUCGGGUCCUUGCAGCUUCCACCACUGACGUGGAUGUGGGAGCGCUGAAAAACCCGGUCAGCAGCGGGGUGGUUGGUUUUAAUGCAUUAGACGCAAGGUGGAUUGUGGUGCGAUGGGUGCUGCAGCGUCGAAUGCAGCAGCAAGCCGCGCACGGGCAGCGAGUAUGGCACGUAAAUGGCAUGUUUGUGCCAAAUCUUCAUCGCGACACUUUCGACCUAUCACCGAUGCCGAGGACGAUCUUAUUUUCGUAUACGUCACACGUCCUCCCCACAUGCACACCCCUCGCAUACCUCCGGAAAUGUUCUCACGGUGAACGAUUUUCUUUUUUCUCGACGACGAAAGGUCUCCUUCGGUUUACUUCGCAACACUUCUCUCAAGCUUGUGUGCGUGUUUGUCUGAACUGUGGAGAACAUUUGCGGAAUAUUGAUAAUCGUUAUUAAUCUAUCGAAGGAGACAUUUUGGUGACAUAGUAUGCACGAGUUACGCAGGGUUCUGUACCCCCUUAAAUACAUACACACACACACAAUCCGCGUGCGUGUGGUUUCCAAUGCAAAUGGCUUUCGGGUGUUAAAUGCGCUGCUUUUAAUUUGCCUACAUCGGCAUACGGCUGUUGCAGGUCGGCAGAGGUUAUGAGAUUUCGUCCGAUGCAAACAUUCAUCUACAAGGCUUGCACUUGGCAGAAAAUGGGGAGAUGGUGGGGUAAUGCAGUAAUGCAACUACCAUACUAAACAUCGAGAAAAGAAGUUUUGCUAAAAAUAUCCGCCACAUGGUUUUGGUAGGAAUGGAUGUGGGCGUGCGUGUGUAUCCGGGUAGGUUUUCGAGCAAGCUAGAGCGAGGGUAGGUUAGUGACCAUUUGAUGGCAACUGAUAGUUCGGACUAAAAUUAGUAUUGGUCAAAUGCAGCAUUAUUUUUAAUCUACUAAACAAAUGAACUGUAUGUUCUGUUUUCGUCCUUUUUGGCAGGUAUUUGUGUUAUUUCUGUGAGUUCAUUGAAAACAUUUGCCAAGAAGUUAAACUAAACCACUUUUUAAAUUGAUCCAAAAUCGCCUUCAAUGUGCGAUGAAUGAAUGGUCAAAAUUAGAAAUAAAAAAAAUUGUAAAAGCAAUAAUUCGAUUCCUCAAAGUAAUAAAUUCUUAAAGUAUCCCAUAUGCAAAUUUUGAAACAUUAUUGGGCAGUUUGCCAAAAACUAUAAUUCUCCCACUCACACACACACAUUACUCCACACAGUGUGUGGCAGCUUCCAUUUUGAAGAAUACUAAUUUUCGGGAUGGUAAGCUUUGUGUGUUUUCGGUACGAUCGACAAUCGCGAUCGCGCUUUCUCCAGCCAUCGGUUCAGCAACAAGCGACAGGCCUGUAAAUUUAUGGACCGUGGAGUUUGCAGUUACUAAGCAAACGGUACGCCACUCGCUUCACCGCAAAGCGCACUUAGUGCACACCGUUUGAUACUGCUGAGUGAUUUUCUCUAUGCACCAGAAAAAGUGCAUCGAACGGCGGGAUCGCACAUGCAUUGAAGGUCCCGGAUCGCGGGUAUUGUCCGUGGCCGUGUGCCACAAUGAUUUAUGCACGAUCGACAUGAGGGAGGUGAGUAGAGGCCUCCACUUUUUGCAUGCAACACCAACGUACUUUUGGUUGGUGUGUUGUUACACUUGUGUUAGGUCUCUUUUUUUCUAUCUUUUUUUACAAAAGAUAAUGUGUUUGAUAUGCAACCGGAGGGAAACCGUAGCGAUGUAGGAUGACUGUAGCCUUAACUGCUGCAUUCCGACAGACGUUUUGUUCGCAGGUGGAAUUCCUACCGGGUGGAAGGUGGUGCUAUGCGUAUUGUUUCACGGUCACAGUCAUAUGGAGCGUUUGUCUAGUCGUUGCCAAUGCCAGCAGAUCACUGCAAAGGACACAUCGUUAACGCUAACUCAAUCGAUGUAUAGAAUGCUCAAGAUGAUUAUUUACAGAUUUUUUUUUGAAUAUUAUUCCUUUUUUUCUUCUCAGGUAUUCUGGCACUUCAAUAAUGCAACACUUUCGUGGAAGGUGCGCAACAGCAAAACUCUUGAUGAAACCAGUAGAAUCAACAUCUGUACAGGUAAGUGCAAAGUUUUUUUUUACUAUUUUAAAAUUGUUUUUUAUUAACUACUUAAAACCAAACCGUGUUUUAGGAAUGUUUCUUGAUCAGAUUGCGUGGAUUGCAGUUUUAAAGAUUGGUUUAUUUAACGUUUAGUAUCAAUGAAAUAUCCUUCUACUGUUCUUAAAAUGCUCUUCACUGCUGCUGUCGUUACUGCUGUACGGCCCCCUUUGGCUCUAAGAACCUUCUUUAUUAAUACCAAUCUUUAGUCGACCAAAGAUAAUUACUAUCGAGACUUUUUCACAUGAUUGUCUUCGUCACACCUAUUACCAGACACUCAAUAAGCUGUUGCGACAAGCAUCAUGGGGUGACGAUCCUAUUUGGUCGGGCGCACCUGACACAGUGUGUCUCCGAAGGGAAAGUGUUUCUAAUCCAAUAUCCUCCAACAAACGACAGUUAAAAGGGCGUGAGACUAUUCUCCACCACGUUGGCGGAUUUUCACUUAUGAUAGCGACAAAGAAAUGCCACCAGAACACAUUUAAUUGCAUGGCAUUGAGCUGCCCUUGGGUGAGGGUGUGCAGUAGGAUAAGGGAGCAACAUUUUCCUCGCUUCCCUUCACACUGCUCACCCGGACCCAUCCCUCCGAUCCAAAUGAACUAAAGUUUAGUGCACUUGUUGCGGAUGGAGUUAGUCCGCUAGGGCACGGGCGUCGGCUUAGUUUUAUGCUGUCUGAUGUACUAGCGGGAAUUUUCCUCCCCCAUUUAGCGCCCACCCACCCUAUGGUUAAGGGCGCAAAAUAAGGUAUCGUACAGUGCCGUGUUCCGUUUGAUUCACUCCAUCGCCCAUUGGAAACUAGAGUGAGCGCAUUACAAUCUUUUUUUUUGUUGUGUUGUAGCUUCCACCAUUUGGCAGACGCGCAAACGCAUUCACUAAAGCGAUGAUUGUUGUGAAGAGCGGUGGAGACGGUGCAUUGCAUUAUCGGUGCAACAACAGAAGCGCUUGUUAAUUUAUGAGAGGAAAGAAAGGGGUAUUGGUGGUGGUAUGAUGGUUAUGGUGCAAAAAUAGUAAUUGUGAAAGUACAGUAGAAAAUGGCGUUACAUGUUCUGCUGCUUCUAAUUGUCGGUAGCAUUUGAAGAAAAGGAUAAAAUGAUUUUUUUUAACACAAACCAUAACUCGUUCAAACUAAGCAUUCGUAAGCAGAAGAGUGUUCGUCACGAGUUCGUCUUUGGUUGAGCUUUGGAUUUAUUUAUUCUGUGUGCAGUAUGAUUGAAACGAUCCAACUUCUAUAACAUCCAUCAAGGUAUAGAAGACAAAAAUAGCACGCAUUCUAGUGAUCAUUUAUAAUUUGCAUCACUGCAGUAGCUGAAGAAGCAUAUGAGAUAAUAUAGAAUUACUCAUACCAUAAUUUUUCUCUAAUAGCCCUACAGGGCAUCAACAUAAUUAUCUAAAGAGAUCUGCAUGAACCAUUGUCCCCUGCAGUUUCCAAUUGAUUCAUUCAUUAGUGCACAAUUUUAAACUUCGUCCAAUUCACCCACCGUGGGCGAAAAUCAUGAUUUAGGUGGUACCAAAACAACGCAUCAUCAUACGUUCGACUCGUUUGACAUACAUGGCCCCGUUGCGUAAAAGUGCACAGCGCCGACAGCGACUCGCCCUCUGCGCGUAUGUCCAUGUGAUUGUGCGCGCGCGUAGUUUUGCCGUUUUUUUUUUUUUGUUUUGUUUGGGGUAUUGGUUGGUUUUCUUUCUGUUGUGCUUUCCUACGAGUGCAUCUCUCACCGUGUGCAACCCUGCUGCACAUUAGAUCAUCGCCUGCUGCUCGCCAUCGUUCUACCAUUCGCGGCGUGCGGCGAAACAAUCCCCCAGGAAGGGUUGUCCGAUCCGGGGACGGGACGUGAGAAUGCAAACGCUCUAAAAACCUCAAACUCUCAAGCUGCUAGCCCUAUCAUCCACUCCAACGCCCGGUUGCAGCAUUUGCACCACCCGAGAAAGAGAAAUGCAUUUACGUUGACGUUAAGUGUUUUUAGAGGAAGCAGUACGAUCGAAUCGGUAUAGAAAUAGGGAACGGGAGAUCGCACCAGGGACAGUUUUUUUUGGGAGUGCAUUGUCUGGUGCACUUCCUCCACUGUUCUCGCAGCCCCCCACUCUAGUGGAUCCGCUACGCAACGGAACAAUACCGAAGCGAGAGAGAAUGCCGAGUGCAGCGAUCGUAAACGGGAAAGCGCUAGAAGCGGAGAAUCAAAAAUCAUCCCCUAGGGGGGGAGAGAAAGAGGACGGAAAAGAGAGAGAGAGAGAGAGAGAGAGAGAGUGAGAGAGAUCAAGUGUACUGUUAAGUUUUCUAACUGCACAUAGAGGCAAAACAAAAGAAAAUGAAAUACGCAACGGCGUUAGGUAGGCCGCAAGGUGCAAAUGAGCCGGGAUUGGGUAAAAUAUGUUAAUAAUUGCAUUUAAACAAUUUCUCUACCUUUCUGGCCCUCUUCGCAUCGUUUUGCUUAUCGCGAGGAACUCGAUGGUAUUCUAUCGAAAUUAAUGUUCCAGUUACACUCGGAGAGCAUGGGAUGAAGAUCAUGGCCCAGGUUACGCGGGAUAUCAGCCUGUCUAAUGAACCGUUGCUACUGGAUUUCUCCACUUUUCGCGGGCAAUUAUGAUUCAUUACCCGCUCACAGUGCAUUCAACGUGUGCUAUCUGUUGAUCUUCAAUCUGUGAGAUAGUUCCCUUUUUGUCUGACGUUGAAUUUUUAAUACGGAUCGAUUGCGCUCCAAUUGCGCACGAAAUUUGCUCCUCAGAUUAAGCAACUGUAAGUAGCACUUCUUGCUGAUCGAUAGGCGGUGUAAGGUUCCGCAAUUCAGUUCCAUGGCUCACUUGUACCGUGACAGCUGUGUUUGUGUGUUACGUCUAUGGAAUGUCAAAGCCAGGGUGUGUUUUGAUUUGUGUGAUGCAUUUUAAUGAACUCAGUCGCAGCGUAGAACAAUUGCUCGUUGGUGAGAUUGAACGAGGUGUCUUAUCACCACUAAUCGCUUCGCGAUCAUUUGUUCGCUGAAACGCUACCUCAGCAUCAACUUUAUUUAUUUAGCUCAAGUGUGUUCCAACCAGAAAAACACGUAAAUUUAUCUUACAAACAAACUGCACCAGUUCGAUAUCGCUUCGACCACUGAAAAUUGUCCGCAAAGAAGCGUAACGAAUUCUCGGAACGCAAGCAGCGCAGAGCAGGCGAGCUUUGUUUGGUGUGCCGUUGCAUUUUCCACCCUUUCGUACGAGCAACCGAACGUCGAAAGCCAACAGCCGAGAAAGCAUUUUCCAACCACCACCAGCGCGGCAGGGACCGACGGAUUUUCCCCGAAACGGCGAGGAAAAGUGUAUGGGAAUGCAAAGGAAAAACAUGUACAACGCCGAUACAGGGCGACACGCAAAUGCAAAGCAAAUCGCAUACAUUCGUUUGCCUUUUUCCCGCCAGCCGGGGAAACUUUCACUCGGGCCGUUUUCACCCGACAGAAACCACGACUUUUUCACGGUGUUUGAGUGUCGGAACAAUCAUGAACCGAUUGCGAAUUGGAACGCGGAGCUUAGGGGGGUACACUAUGGCGGGAAGGAACGGGGUGGCAUGAGUUCCUCCACCACCAUCAAGCGACACUCUUCAAUGACAGUGCAACGAAAUGGGGUACAAGCGCGUGGGAGAGAGGAGGGAGGGUGUUGGUAAGAAUUUUCCGACCCCAUCGUAAGUGCGCGUGCUGCUUUUUGUAUUAUUUUUAGUCGCGCUUAUCCUUCGCCUCGGAAUGUUUCAGUCAGUAUCGUGUGUGUCUUCAGCCUGUUCUCUCUCUUGCGAAGUGCGAAUUGUUUUGAUAUUUUUCACACUCAAACAAACGGGGUGAAAUUUGGAUGCAUCCUCUUUGGUUGCAUUGGUCACGAAUCGAUCAUGGUCGAUCACGUGGAUCGACGGAGGUUCGGAAAAGCCAGGACGGUGGGUCCCAAGAUUCUGACCAUCAAGUUUGAAUGGCCACCACCACCACCACCACCGAAAGCUGCACGAGAGUAUGUUGUGCAGCAGUCGGAAGACAGCUGAGAGCAGAUUCUGUCGACUUUUCGAAUUCGGAUUUGGUUGCUCACUGCGAUCGCGGUUCGGCCCUUUGCUGCGACCAUUGAUGCAGAGAAGGGACCAGCACAAGGCAUCUCUAUCACACGCUCUGUCUUUCUCUCUCCUUCUCGCUCAUUCGUAGUAGCAAUCUUCAUCCGUAGCUCUGACUCUCGGUUUCCUCACGGUUCGCGGUUCGCGUAUCGAUGGACGGAGAUAAAUCCGUUGUUCUGCGCACGGAUGGAGAACGAGAGAGAGGGAGAGAGCGAGAGAGUGAGAGAGCAGAGUUUGAAUGUGUGUUUGGGCGAAAUAGAGAGGGCAGGCUAUUUAGUACGCAUGUAUGCGCGCACUUGAAAGCUAUUUACCCGUUAGUGCGCGGCCAGGCCAUUUCAGUGCUUUUCCACUUGGCACCCCGGCAAGGUGUGUGCCGUACGCUCCCACAUAAUACAAUCCGCCCAGCACAAACACGUUCGCGCUCGCCAAACACACACACACGCAUGCACACAAUAAAGACGUGAUCGAGAAACAUGGAGGCACCUGUAGAGCGCGCGCGAGACACCCCCCACGGGUGCAAGGAACGGUUGGUCCGGUGGCGGUGGCUCAGCUGUUGUGUGCGCGCGUUCCCAUCCGUCAGUUGGCCGCGAUCUCUGCUGGGAUGCGCUCGUCUUGCUGCACGCUGCAAUCAUUGGCACGCUACCGGAUUGGGUGAAGUUGGGCAACUGCUUGGAUUCGCAACUAACACCCCUGACCUGCCCAAACUGCGGAUGGAUGCGAAGUUGGAUCCCAGCCCUGCGGUAGCUUCGGUCAACAGUUCCAGGAAGCGGUUGCAUAGUUUUCGCACUUCAUCCCCGGAGAGGAACUUCAAUUACGCGCAGUACAAUACGAUCGCCGUGCCUGUCUGCCUGCUAGUGUAAUUGCGAAGAUCCGGCAGAUCGGGGUUUCUCACUCCCUUUAUUGCAACGUCCGAGUGUUCGAGUGUGUGUGUGUGUGUGUGUGAGUGUUUUCUGUGACUGUUCAAUUGUGGUCGCGCGGGGCCACGUGAAACUAUUCAAAGAGGGUAGGGAAUUUCGCAACGAACGGUGGAUAGUUUUUUGGUGCUACUAUGACGCACCGCGAUAGACCCACGAAUCCAUUCUUUUCGGAUGGAUCGAAUCGAUCGGUGUACAUAUCGUGCGUGUUUGUGUGUGCGUGCUGGUGAAGCUGGGUAUCUCAGGUACCCGCAGGAUACAGGAUGUAAAAGGAAGCGGCCACUGUUGAAGCGUUUUUUGUUUUACACGUAUUUUUUCUUCAAAAAGCGCUGACGUGUUGGAAGCUUCGUCCCGUAACCUAUUUCGCAUGGUGCACCCUUACGGGGGAGACUCGAAAGAGCAGCAUCUAGCUAGCAAGAUGUGAUCCGUGUCACUAUUAAACAUUCACGUCAAACGUCAUCGUCAGCAUCAUUCGUUAGUUGGCAGAUAGUAGUAGUAGUAGUAGUAGUACGACUUCGAUUGCCGGUGGUUUGGUGACACUGGUGGUAUCUGGACAUUCUCCACCAGUAUACGGAACCCCGAGCGGUUCACAAACAGGAAUUGAUGUCCCCUGAUCUUGAUCUUCGUGAUCAUGCGUACGAGAAGCAUGUCGAACCUGACACACACCUUUUCACAGUUGAUGAUAUAACACCGGCCCGCUCUCUGCCCACUGAUGGCAACGUGGACUAGGAACAAACAAACAAAAAAACAACACACAUCACAAACCACUUGGCCAUUUGCUGGCGAUUCAACGAUUUUACAAUCGUCACACACAACAAGUUUGGCUCAUCAGCGUCGAUGUGUGUGGCGUUCCAGCGACGUUUCCUUAUCGCUUUCUCCUCCACCGAGAGUUGUCGCACACUCGGGCGGGUUUUUCACGCGAUUCUCCACAACACAGCGUCCGGUACGCGACGUGUUGUGCCUCGUAUUCCGACGUGUCAACCGCUCUUUUGGUUGUUGGUAUGCCGUUGUUCAACCCCGUUGCUGUGUGCAUCGUGUUGCAUCCUGCUGUGUGUCGAUGCAACUGCUUGUGGCCACACACACACAUACAGUUUGAUAACGCACACCAGCAAGUGGGGAGAGACUUUUUGGAGUACGAUCAGAUGAAAUGAAGGCCACCGGGGUUUGAGCAGUUGAGACAUUUUGACCUGCAGCUAGUAACAACCACUGGAAAGCAAUAUUAAACGUUGCAGGUUUGCAAAGGAAAACCCCCAGCAAGAAAAAGGUUGCCGAAAAAAAACCGGAAAAUGGAGGAAACACAGAGCGAGAGUUGGAUGGACCGCGUGGACAAGUAGUUGGCGUUUAUUUUCACUGCUCCACUGUUGCCUAGCGGUUUGACGGUGGGAAAGAACAUAACGAAGGAGGGGAAAAUUAGGUCGGUGAAAAGUGUGUAAACGUGUGUGUGUGCGUGUGUUUGAUGUAUUUUUGUAUGACCACGAUCGUACGGUGGUUUUGUUUUUUGGAUCUUCGGAGCGCUACCGUUUCGAUUUUGUACCGCGUGGAAAAGCGGUACACGGUACAGAUUCGUCGUUCGAUUGCACAAGGCCCCCCGGCCGGAGAAGCCCGUGGGAUGGAAAAGAAAUUGGUCAACAGUACGCGAGUGGGGAGCCGUGCGUGUGCAAGAUGAUCGUCGCUCAUGUUUGACCAACGCGUUUCGUCAGCGCCAUGUUCGCCACGGAACAAUAUAUAAAUGUAUUCCACGGCACGUGAGAUAUGACGAACCGGUCGUAGCGAAGAUCGUAGCGUUACACCUUUCGCAUCACGUCUCGAUCUGCUGCUACUGCUGUAUGAUGUUUAUUUUCUCUUUCAAAACGUGUCAUUUCGUGUGAGUGAGCUCCAAAAGCCUUUUUUUUGUCCCCCCGGAAGGUUGAAAACAACCGUCACAAUCGAACCGCUCAAGUACUGGCCUGUUGAGAAAGCGUUUUUUAUUUUGCUGAGGAUACACAAAGACUGGCAUCUAGAGCACUUCAACCAGGAUAAGCUGGGAUGGCUGCCUAGCUGCUCGGUAGUUAGCACCGGAGCUCUAAUUGAGAUCGCGAAUCGGAAUCUAUCCGCGCCGUAGCUUACAGAAGAAACUGAUUUAGAAAAUACUAGAUUGAUGUAGGGUAUAUACGGCUGGUUGGAUUGCUUAAACGAACCAUUGCAAUAGGACUUUGGUGGGAUACGCAUCGAUCAUAAUGUUUGAAAUUGUCGCAAUGGUAUAAUUGCUAACUAAACCACCAAACAACACUACACAAUUUCUCCUCGUUCGCGCAAUGGAUCUUAUUACAUCAGAACCGUCAAGGUUCCACAGAGUUUCUCUCUGUGCGUGUGUAUGUGUGUAUUAGGGCUUUUCUAAAUAAAGCCCUAGCUCCCUACACGUUUUCUACCAACCCGGGGGGCUAGACGCGUUUACCGCGUGCAGUGGUGGGAACAAGGGGUGGCGACGGAGGACUGGGAAGCGAGGCAGGAAGUAGGAAUGCGAAAAAAGCAGCCUUCAAACGGCGGUGCAACUCGUCAUGUAGUCAGGCCCGGUGUGCAAAAAUUGUGCAAUAGCAAAUGAAGGUCAGUAUGUUGCAGUUGCAGUGGCAGACGUCGGCUGCCACUUACGCUGCUGUGAGUGUGUCUGUCAGCGAGAUAUGCCAUCCGCUCGCGCUGGUGUAUAUUCGAGUGCUUGGGGAGGGGGCGGUUAAAACAAAACCACACUUUUAGUAUAAAGUGUAGAGGGCAAAAAAAAGCAAGAGAAACCCCUUUACAUCCGUCCAAUAUCCGCUACCGUGCCUGGGUGGACAUGCAGCCUAUAGCGGUAGAACAUUUUUAACAAAAGCGUUCUGAUAGUCGGAAGCCAUUUUUAUUGUUGUAUGUGUUUGAGCGUUAGUGUUUGAUGUAUCCAGGCAGAGGAGGAUGCAUUGUAACGAGCACACUUUUUUUUCUAAUCCCAUUUUUUUCCUAUGCAAUUUUCUUCCAAUUCUUGUUCCUGUUCCUCGUCGCAUUUUUAAUGCGGAAAUGUAUGCAAAAGACCUUCCACGAUUCAAGCAGCCAGCCCCACUCUACCACCCAAAACAUUCGACCAUAUUAAUUGGAAAGGUGCACGAAAGAUUCGUUCGACUGGCGGUGUCUAGCUGGCAUUGGGUGGGCAUUGUCGAGUGGUUCAUGAUAUGUGCCACCGACCACCCCUUCAUUGUACGAUCGAGCUGUACAAAAAAGCGGGUUAGUAGUGGAACGCCUAGGCCCCGUGCACACGCGUUACCAGUGUGUACGGGGUGGGUGGACUGUGCAGGAAACGGGGUGAUAGGGCACGUCGAACCGAUAUGUGUGUCGGAAGCCGUCAUCGAGAAGCCGUUUGGGAAGUGGGAAGUCACACGGUUCUGAGUGUGUGUGUGUGUGUGUGUGUGUGUGUGUGUGUGUGUGUGUGUGUGUGUGUGUGUGUGUGUGUGUGUGUGUGUGUGUGUGUGUGUGUGUGGGAGGUCAAUGGGGAGACACAACCUUGCACAAAGUCGUCCUAGAUGUUGAAUGUGCAGCCACCGUGGGGGGGGGGGUUGUUGGGAUUCGAGGGAACACCUACAACAUCGGUUUGAGAAUGGCACACGAUGACAACCGAACGGUGGCGAUGGAUGGUUUUCCCUUUUUUUGCUUUGCUACUUGAUUUCGCUUAGAGCUUGUGUCCAAAAUAAGCCAGUGCAACUAGGGCACCACUAGAACACACUCGAAUGUGUUCGUAUUGGGGUUUUUUUUCGCCAACGGUUCCGCAAAAUGCAUUGUGAAUUAUGCAAAGUGCAAGAAUUUUAUUCCACUGACCACGGUGACAUGUAUUUGUUUUUAAAUGCAUUUUGAUGUACCGGACUGGCAAGAAAUUCGAUAAACGAUUAUUGCUAUUUAAAAAGCAUCUCGUCGCCUCGUCUGGUCAGUGCGAAGGGAUGAGUUGCGAAAGAAUAAAGCCAGCAUGAAGGACAGAAGCGUCCCGCACCAGUGUGUGUUGGCAAAUGUCCCACCCCAUUAUGGAUCCUUUUUCGGUCUGGUGCUGCGCGCUACACUGGCUGCAAGAUGCAUUUGUCCUUUUUGCACAAUGACGCAUCGUGACAUUAUGUAGGCGAGUUUCCUUCGGACAUCGCACAUCCUUGAAGUGUUAUUGGCAAAUGCUAAAAGUGUUAGCCAAAGCGGCCAACGAUUUAACCUCCGCCUUUGGCAAUCAAAUCCCGUUUUGUCUGCUCGUUAUGUAAAACUUGGCAGUUGGUUUGUCUUUUGCCAAGGGAACGAUCACAUAUUUUCACUGUCUGGCAAAGAGAGCAGAGUUUUCGUGAGCGUGUGUGCGCCAAGUGCCCCACAAACGGCUAACUGAUUUGAGUCAUACAGUUGCACACAAGACGUCAGUGGUUUUGGAGACAUUCAACCACGCAUAAAAAUAACUAAUCAUUCUCGGAACCGAGGGCUAUCGUUAUCAAACUUUACAACACAAUAUGGCGGCCUGUUAUCAUUGAAAACGACUCUUCGAUGGUGAAUUUCAAAGGUCGUCACCUAGAUUUUAUCGUGACGCUUAAAAACAAACCCCCUUUUUUCUUAAAUUUUGCUGGAUAGGAAAUUUGCAAGAAUGUAACCAUGAGCAAGCAUCAUGCAACAGAUAAACGCGAUAAAGCGAAGGUGCUAACUGUGCGUGAUAAGAUAAGACACACACGACCGAUUAAGGGUGUGUAGUGUAGUGGUGUAGCAGGCCGACUGUAGCUAGGCUACAUGUAUUUUAUGCUAGAACAAACACCCGAAACCGGACCUCACAUCCGGAUUGAUCUGGCUGGAUGGAAUUUUUUGGUGGGUUAUUUUAUUUCAUUUUUUUUCGUGGACUUGAAACGUGUUGCAUGCCUCCCAUGACAGUCAAAGUGGUACGGAAAGCGGUUAUCAGGCGCACAUAUUAAAUAAUGGCCCAGUCAGGGGAAAAGGUACAGUGUCCCGACGUGGUGUUAUCGCGCGAUGAGACGACCCUUAUCUGCCUGGCGGGUAAAACAAUGAAGCUCGCAACGCGUGGCAGUGUGUUCCGAUGCACACUAGACAGGCGACAUGCCGCCAUUCUAAUCAUUGUCUCGCGUAUGUGUGUGACACCAAACAGACACACUCAGACGCCCGGACGGGCUGAUCAUUUGUGGAACGUGAAGAACGGAACUCCCGUUACAGUAACCGAUCGGGCGGGCGAACCUGUAAAAUGUAGGUGAAACAAUGCCGCACCCCGAAUCGGACAGCUGUGUAAAGGGGAAGCAACACACCAAUCCGUUGUUUCGGAUUUCAAACGGCAGGUUUCGAUUCCCCAGCGUUGUGUUGGGUACCGUUUGGUACCGAAAGCUGGCACAAGGCAAAGGAAGAAUUGAUUUUGACCAUCUUGUCUAGCCAAGUGAAAUGGACGGUGAAAGAUCCACAUCCAGCCUGCACUAUCGCGCUUGCGAUAAGCUCCGGAGUGACUCACUGUAAAUCCAAACCAAACCAGCCCAAUUUCAGUCUUCCGGCUUGCGGGUGGAUGGAAAGAACGGAAGCUAUCAUUGGAGGCGAGGGAUGUAACUGUAGGUUUCGCAAGCUGACGUCAGCUGUGGGGUUGGUUGGUGAGAGCAUAGGAGCUCUUAUGACCGUUUCUCAUGAAGGGAGUAGGAACGAACAACUACCACCCAGACAACCCUUACCGUAGCGAGAAAGCAAACCGUUCUACACCGAAGAUGGUGCGUAAUUUUAAAGCAUAAUUAUCAUAUUAUGAUCCAUCUGCCGUUGGGGCGUAUGUUGCUUUCGUACUGCGGUGGGUGAAAAGCGGACUCAUCCAACUAGAACACCGACGCGGCGUUCGUGUACCGCUAAUCGUAUGUGUGUAUGCCGGGUGAAGUUAGCGGCAAACGGUUUUUUUUUUUUGUACCAUAGCGGGUUUGUUUGGAUGAGGAAACCAGCCUGCCGGUAACAUGUACUGCUGGCUCGGCUCAUGCACAUUCCAAUAUAACCUAAUACUCAUGGUUCGAUAAGCGAGCGCAUGAUAAAGACGUGCACUUCCUAAUGUAAGCUGCUAGAAUUAUGGUGAAGAAGAAAACGGGUUUUCCUCGAGCCUUUAGCGAAAUGAACUCCGAUGAUGUUCAAUAAACCGCAUCAAAUUGCGUUAUCGCGUUACCCAAAUGCUGGUGCUGGUUCACUGGUAACGGAGUAGCCGUGUACUAGACUCGUAACUGUGCUUGUGUAUUAUUCAACUUAUGGUUGAAUUGAACUUAUGGUGAGGUUGCAUACAGGUGCAGUGGUGCCAAUGGUAUGCACUGGUGGCCUUGUACAUUAGGUUAGGUCACCCAGACACUCCAGACAAGGAAGCUGCUAAAAGCACGUGUUUGAUUAAGUGUAGCUUCCUUACUUUUUCAAUUAACCUUGAAGAUACAAACGAUGGUGUGUAUCUCACAUGAAACCGAUUUGGCAAUUGGGUAAGGAAGCUAAUAAAAUUAAAGCUUUCUGUAAAAGGAUACGUUUCCUAUAAGGGAAUGGUGUUGGAUCAACCGAAGCAGCAGUAAUUUCCAAUAAUGGAGUACUAUUAAUACUAACAAAAAUACACAAAGAAGUGCUAUAUGCUACAGGUGCAUACGCAACAAGUACUUAAAAUGCAACACAAGAUUGUGUGGAUGCUCGAGGGUUUGGCUUAACGUUGACAACCAUCCAACCGGCUCCCUCUCUACGGAAUUGCUUUGUUGCAAUCCAGGUGACGAUGGUAGUAUGAAGGUAAUACUUUGUACUUCAAUUUGUAUUAGUGUUGCAUAAUACACUACGAUCUGUGACAUUUGUUACCCAAAUACUUGAACCCAAAAAUUGCUCUGCGAAAUCAAUUCUCUUCCUGAGGGUUUGUUUAUGAGUACUACCAUGUGACUUUGCGAACUCUUGUAAAUUAUAAGAGAACUAAUUGAGAUAAACGAAUGCAUCACUCCACCGAAUAUGCUCCUCUCAGGGUCUCGGGGGUUAGAAAUGUGCGUAGAAUGCAGUUUCGUGUUGCACAAUGCACGACCCACCCUACCGCGUUGGCAUUGCACAGAAACCACCACAGGAAGACCCACCACUUGCAUUGGUUUGUACGAUAUACUAUGCACCACUUGCACUACCACGAACCUGAGGUGUGUUUGUGUGGGUUUAGACAAGCAAGAACACAUUUGUGCACCGGGUAAUUGCUUAGCGCUGAGACUAGAUGCUCUUACGUCACAUGGAACUGAGCAAUCGAAGUAGAUAAUAAGUAGUAGAUAACAAAUUCUCAAUAAUGAUGCUAACGGUGACGAUGACAAUGAAAGUGAUGCUAGUAACGAAGAUGAUGAUGAUAGUAAUGAAAGGUUAAUAAUUCUGGUCGCUACGCUUUCUCUUGGUUGAGUUUUGGGGUACGUGUCAGAGGUGCAUUUACAUCGAGCUACAGCCGUUAGAGGUAUUUGUAAAUGCACUAUCUGGUACGACAUUCCAGAAUCGAUAUUCGUCGUAACGGGAGAGCAAGAGAAGUAGCCGACCCACCGUACCAGAGGGUGAAUUCCCCACAUGGGAUGGGGUUGAAAUGUAUUUUAAACGUGCGCACGCUGAAUCAUCGAUGCGCGAACUGAUUGGCGCACAGCGUAAUGACGAGCGUGCCUGUGUGUGCAUGUCUGUAGACGGAGAGUUCGAAUGCAGUGGUAAUGGCGAAAAAAAUAUUAACAUUUAUAAAUUAUUAUGGCCAACGACAGCAGCAGUAAAACAGCAUCAGACAGCACAACCACGAGCCGUACUUGUGCCUUGAAAUGUUUCACUAGCAACAGUUUGCGUGUAUGCGUAACUUAUCUAAAUAAAUUGUUUUACAAGCUCUUUGCUUUUCACAUCGUUGCUCAAUGCCUUGUUAAUCCAAAAAUUAUAAUAAAAAAAACUUUUCUUGCAUUAAACAAA